ACUGCGUACCUUUUGUAUAAUGGGUCAGCGACUUAUAUUCUGUAGCAAGGUUAACCGUAUAGGGGAGCCGGAGGGAAACCGAGUCUUAAUUGGGCGUUAAGUUGCAGGGUAUAGACCCGAAACCCGGUGAUCUAGCCAUGGGCAGGUUGAAGGUUGGGUAACACUAACUGGAGGACCGAACCGACUAAUGUUGAAAAAUUAGCGGAUGACCUGUGGCUGGGGGUGAAAGGCCAAUCAAACCGGGAGAUAGCUGGUUCUCCCCGAAAGCUAUUUAGGUAGCGCCUCGUGAAUUCAUCUCCGGGGGUAGAGCACUGUUUCGGCUAGGGGGCCAUCCCGGCUUACCAACCCGAUGCAAACUGCGAAUACCGGAGAAUGUUAUCACGGGAGACACACGGCGGGUGCUAACGUCCGUCGUGAAGAGGGAAACAACCCAGACCGCCAGCUAAGGUCCCAAAGUCAUGGUUAAGUGGGAAACGAUGUGGGAAGGCCCAGACAGCCAGGAUGUUGGCUUAGAAGCAGCCAUCAUUUAAAGAAAGCGUAAUAGCUCACUGGUCGAGUCGGCCUGCGCGGAAGAUGUAACGGGGCUAAACCAUGCACCGAAGCUGCGGCAGCGAACGUAUCACUUAAAGCGAUUCAGCGGGUUACGACUGACGGAGCGAAGCGACGUCAAAGCGUAUACAAAGUCGAGUCGGUUUAAGGAUACGUUCGUUGGGUAGGGGAGCGUUCUGUAAGCCUGCGAAGGUGGCCUGUGAGGGUUGCUGGAGGUAUCAGAAGUGCGAAUGCUGACAUAAGUAACGAUAAAGCGGGUGAAAAGCCCGCUCGCCGGAAGACCAAGGGUUCCUGUCCAACGUUAAUCGGGGCAGGGUGAGUCGACCCCUAAGGCGAGGCCGAAAGGCGUAGUCGAUGGGAAACGGGUUAAUAUUCCCGUACUUGGUGUUACUGCGAAGGGGGGACGGAGAAGGCUAUGUUGGCCGGGCGACGGUUGUCCCGGUUUAAGCGGGUAGGUGUGUGUUCCAGGUAAAUCCGGUUCACUUUAACACUGAGGCGUGACGACGAGGCACUACGGUGCUGAAGCAACAA
RNAcentral lists this ribosomal RNA (1080 nucleotides) under Salmonella enterica. Its description in RNAcentral is "partial 23S ribosomal RNA". It matches the Rfam family "Bacterial large subunit ribosomal RNA", at positions 596 to 1596 of the family's 2925-position model. Lineage: Bacteria; Pseudomonadati; Pseudomonadota; Gammaproteobacteria; Enterobacterales; Enterobacteriaceae. The record is from RNAcentral.